This 497-nucleotide ribosomal RNA is filed under the name uncultured bacterium. RNAcentral describes it as "partial 16S ribosomal RNA". It matches the Rfam family "Bacterial small subunit ribosomal RNA", at positions 28 to 507 of the family's 1533-position model. The record is from RNAcentral.
GAUGAACGCUGGCGGCGUGCUUAAUACAUGCAAGUCGAGCGAACAGACGAGGAGCUUGCUCCUCUGACGUUAGCGGCGGACGAGUGAGUAACACGUGGAUAACCUACCUAUAAGACUGGGAUAACUUCGGGAAACCGGAGCUAAUACCGGAUAAUAUAUUGAACCGCAUGGUUCAAUAGUGAAAGACGGUUUUGCUGUCACUUAUGGAUGGAUCCGCGCCGCAUUAGCUAGUUGGUAAGGUAAUGGCUUACCAAGGCAACGAUGCGUAGCCGACCUGAGAGGGGGGUCGGCCGCCCUGGAACUGAGACACCGUCCAGACGCCUACGAGAGGAAGCAGUAGGGAAUAUUCCGCAAUGGGCGAAAGCUUGACGGAGCAACGCCGCGUGAGGGAUGAAGGUCUUCUGAUCGUAGAGCUCUGUUAUUGGGGGAGAACAAGUGUUUAAGUAACUAUGCACGUCUUGACGGUACCUGAUCAGAAAGCCACGGCUAACUACGUG